This 253-nucleotide ribosomal RNA is filed under the name uncultured bacterium. RNAcentral describes it as "partial 16S ribosomal RNA". It matches the Rfam family "Bacterial small subunit ribosomal RNA", at positions 524 to 776 of the family's 1533-position model. The record is from RNAcentral.
UACGUAGGGGGCAAGCGUUGUCCGGAAUUAUUGGGCGUAAAGAGCGUGUAGGCGGCCAGAUAAGUCCGCUGUGAAAUCUCGAGGCUCAACUUCGAGCUGUCGGUGGAAACUAUCUGGCUAGAGUCCGGAAGAGGAGAAUGGAAUUCCUGGUGUAGCGGUGAAAUGCGCAGAUAUCAGGAAGAACACCCGUGGCGAAGGCGGUUCUCUGGGACGGUACUGACGCUAAGGCGCGAAAGCGUGGGGAGCGAACAGG